This 439-nucleotide ribosomal RNA is filed under the name uncultured bacterium. RNAcentral describes it as "partial 16S ribosomal RNA". It matches the Rfam family "Bacterial small subunit ribosomal RNA", at positions 339 to 795 of the family's 1533-position model. The record is from RNAcentral.
CUACGGGGGGCUGCAGUGGGGAAUAUUGCGCAAUGGAGGAAACUCUGACGCAGCCAUGCCGCGUGUGUGAAGAAGGCCUUCGGGUUGUAAAGCACUUUCGACGGGGAAGAUGAUGACGGUACCCGUAGAAGAAGCUCCGGCUAACUUCGUGCCAGCAGCCGCGGUAAUACGAAGGGAGCAAGCGUUGUUCGGAAUUACUGGGCGUAAAGGGCGUGUAGGCGGAUGUAUCAGUCAGGGGUGAAAGCCAUGGGCUCAACCUGUGAACUGCCUUUGAUACUGUGCAUCUAGAGAUUGUGAGAGGAUAGCGGAAUACCCAGUGUAGAGGUGAAAUUCGUAGAUAUUGGGUAGAACACCAGUGGCGAAGGCGGCUAUCUGGCACAAUACUGACACUGAGGUGCGAAAGCGUGGGGAGCAAACAGGAUUAGAUACCCCCGUAGUC